UGAGUACGAGAUGCUACGGCAUCGAAGCAGUCUAUGUCAUACUUCCAAGAAAAGCUUGCACUGUCAGAAACAGAUAAUGCCUGUACCAUAACCGACACAGGUGGGUAGGUAGAGUAUACUAAGGGGCGCGAGAUAACUCUCUCUAAGGAACUCGGCAAAAUGACUCCGUAACUUCGGGAGAAGGAGUGCCUUAUUUUUAAGGUUGCAAUAACAAGAUCCAAGCAACUGUUUACCAAAAACACAGGUCUCCGCUAAGUCGUAAGACGAUGUAUGGGGGCUGACGCCUGCCCAGUGCCAGAAGGUUAAAGAAGUCGGUUAGCAUUCGCGAAGCUGGUAACUGAAGCCCUGGUGAACGGCGGCCGUAACGAUAACGGUCCUAAGGUAGCGAAAUUCCUUGUCGGGUAAGUUCCGACCCGCACGAAAGGCGUAAUGAUUUGGAUACUGUCUCGGAGAGGGGCUCGGUGAAAUAGACUUGUCUGUGAAGAUGCGGACUACCUGCACCUGGACAGAAAGACCCUAUGAAGCUUUACUGUAACUUGAAAUUGAAAUUGGACUUUAUUUGCGCAGUAUAGGUGGGAGGCGUUGAAAAUAUUCUUGCGGGAAUAUUGGAGCCAUCAGUGAGAUACCACUCUUGUAUGUUAGAUUUCUAACUUUAUAUCAUUAUCUGGUUAAAGAACAGUUUCAGGCGGGCAGUUUGACUGGGGCGGUCGCCUCCCAAAUGGUAACGGAGGCGCACAAAGGUUUCCUCUGAACGGAUAGAAAUCGUAUCUAGAGUGUAAAGGCAUAAGGAAGCUUGACUGUGAGACCUACAAGUCGAGCAGGGACGAAAGUCGGUCUUAGUGAUCUGACGGUGCUGAGUGGAAAGGCCGUCACUCAACGGAUAAAAGUUACUCUAGGAUAACAGGCUGAUCUCCCCCAAGAGUUCACAUCGACGGGGAGGUUUGGCACCUCGAUGUCGGCUCAUCGCAUCCUGGGGCGGUAGUACGUCCCAAGGGUUGGGCUGUUCGCCCAUGAAAGCGGUACGCGAGCUGGGUUCAGAACGUCGUGAGACAGUUCGGUCCAUAUCCGGUGUAGGCGUUAGAAUUUUGAGAGGAGCCUUCUUUAGUACGAGAGGACCGAGAAGGACAUACCUCUGGUGUACCAGUUAUCGUGCCAACGGUAAACGCUGGGUAGCUAUGUAUGGAGUGGAUAACCGCUGAAAGCAUCUAAGUGGGAAGCCCACCUCAAGAUAAGUAUUCUC
This 1240-nucleotide ribosomal RNA is filed under the name metagenome. RNAcentral's name for it is "bacterial LSU rRNA". It matches the Rfam family "Bacterial large subunit ribosomal RNA", at positions 1564 to 2815 of the family's 2925-position model. The record is from RNAcentral.